CCUGAAAAUGGAUGGCGCUGUAGCGUCGUGCCUAUACUCGGCCGUCAACGGCACAGGGGGCGGCACCCUCGCGGGUGCCGGGCCGUUAUGCCUUGACGAGUAGGAGGGUCGCGGCGGUGUGCGCAGAAGGGUCUGGGCGUGAGCCUGCCUGGAGCCACCGUCGGCGCAGAUCUUGGUGGUAGUAGCAAAUACUCCAGCGAGGACCUGGAGGACUGACGUGGAGAAGGGUUUCUUGUGAACAGCUGUUGCACAAGAGUCAGUCGAUCCUAAGCCCUAGGAGAAAUCCUAUGUCGAUGGGAAGCCGUUGAAGAUGGAAGGCGCUCUUUGCGCUCUUGUCAUUGGAAGGCGACCCACGGGGCGAAAGGGAAUCCGGUUCCUAUUCCGGAACCCGGCUGCGGAACCGUUCAUAAGCGGGCCCUCAUCCGAGAGCUCGACGGGGCAACCCGAAGAGACCCGGAGACGCCGGCGGGAGGUCCGGAGAGAGUUUUCUUUUCUCUAUAAGCGUUCGAGUUCCCUGGAAGCCUAUAGCAGGGAGAUAGGGUUUGGAACGCGAAGAGCACCGCAGUUGCGGCGGUGUCCGGAUCUUCCCCUCGGACCUUGAAAAUCCGGGAGAGGGCUACGCGGAAUGUCCGCGCCGGAUCGUACCCAUAUCCGCAGCAGGUCUCCAAGGUUAAGAGCCUCUAGUCGAUAGAAUAAUGUAGGUAAGGGAAGUCGGCAAACU
This 721-nucleotide ribosomal RNA is filed under the name Kanaima fluvialis. RNAcentral describes it as "eukaryotic LSU rRNA". It matches the Rfam family "Eukaryotic large subunit ribosomal RNA", at positions 1311 to 1923 of the family's 3401-position model. The record is from RNAcentral. Lineage: Eukaryota; Metazoa; Arthropoda; Insecta; Hemiptera; Cercopidae.